AACGUAGGGUGCAAGCGUUGUCCGGAAUUACUGGGUGUAAAGGGAGCGCAGGCGGGAAGACAAGUUGGAAGUGAAAACCAUGGGCUCAACCCAUGAAUUGCUUUCAAAACUGUUUUUCUUGAGUAGUGCAGAGGUAGAUGGAAUUCCCGGUGUAGCGGUGGAAUGCGUAGAUAUCGGGAGGAACACCAGUGGCGAAGGCGGUCUACUGGGCACCAACUGACGCUGAGGCU
This 230-nucleotide ribosomal RNA is filed under the name uncultured microorganism. Its description in RNAcentral is "partial 16S ribosomal RNA". It matches the Rfam family "Bacterial small subunit ribosomal RNA", at positions 524 to 753 of the family's 1533-position model. The record is from RNAcentral.